AUCAGGUAUGCUAGUUCUUCCUCUUUUCUGCUAAUUAUGUCCCUGCGUCUACACAGUUUCAUUUGAGUAUUCACAGUCGCCUUAUUUUUUUUUCAACUAGGUCGCUUGUAUGGGGACCCAAAUGAAGAUAUUUGGACUAUGUUCAAUGAUGAGCAAUAAUCAUUUUUGUCUAGAAGUGUCACCUCAAUUACUUUGUGCAAUGGAGAGUCAACCUUAUUUUCAUGCUCAGGGAUAGCUAUAGAUCAGAGGAACCAUCUUACAAGGUUUCUGACUUAUGCAAGUUUGGUUAGAGCUCUCAAUGGUGCUACAAACAAAGAUUAUAUUGAGUUAAAGAUUGGAGUGCGCCAUGAAGGCAAUGAAGUGUAUGAGGGGUUUUUGGCUGAAUAUGAUUUAGAUCAGAACUUUGCUGUUGUCAACGUCUAUGCCUUCCUUGAUGUUCAUGUUGGACUUAAACAUGUGCUGGACAUUUCGUCCCAUGGUGAGCUAUUAUUAGUAGCUUUAGGGCGUGGCAUCUCUGGCAAACUAAUUGCAAGGACUGUGAUGUUGAGUAGUGAUUUAAGGGUAUCUGGUUCUUGCCUGUAAAAACUCAGAGGUACACUUGCAUGAUGAUAUGAGAAUUUUAUUCUUUUCUAUUAUUAUAUGCAUGCAAGCAAUAAAAUGUUUUUUUAUUUUAUAAGUAAUUCUCGUUCCAUACCACUUCAUUCAAAUGUGAC
Panicum virgatum (switchgrass) is the source of this 713-nucleotide long non-coding RNA. RefSeq lists it as uncharacterized. The record is from RefSeq and is a predicted model, not a curated record. Lineage: Eukaryota; Viridiplantae; Streptophyta; Magnoliopsida; Poales; Poaceae. The transcript has 3 exons.